This 443-nucleotide ribosomal RNA is filed under the name uncultured bacterium. RNAcentral describes it as "partial 16S ribosomal RNA". It matches the Rfam family "Bacterial small subunit ribosomal RNA", at positions 338 to 795 of the family's 1533-position model. The record is from RNAcentral.
CCUACGGGUGGCAGCAGUGGGGAAUAUUGGGCAAUGGAGGCAACUCUGACCCAGCAACGCCGCGUGAAUGAUGAAGGUCUUCGGAUUGUAAAGUUCUGUGAUGGGGGAUGAACACAAUGACGGUACCCCAAUAGCAAGCCACGGCUAACUACGUGCAAGCAGCCGCGGUAAUACGUAGGUGGCAAGCGUUAACCGGAAUGACUGGGCGUAAAGGGUGCGUAGGUGGUUUAGUAAGUUGGCGGUGUAAUUCCGGGGCUCAACCUGGGCACUACCGCCGAAACUGUCAGACUAGAGUGCAGUAGAGGUGGGUAGAAUUCCAGGUGUAGCGGGGAAAUGCGGAGAGAUAUGGAGGAAUACCGGUGGCGAAGGCGGCCCCCUGGACAAAAACUGACGCUCAGGUGCGAAAGCGUGGGGAGCAAACAGGAUUAGAUACCCUUGUAGUC